AGGAUGAACGCUGGCGGCGUGCCUAACACAUGCAAGUCGAACGUCCUGUCUCGCAAGAGGCAGGGAGUGGCGGACGGGUGAGUACCACGUGGGUCAUCUACCGUGAGGUGAGGAAUACCGGCGAGAAAUCGCCGACAAGACCGCAUAGGCUCGAUGCAAGUCGAGCAAAGCUCUUUCGAGAGAGGGAGCGCCACACGAGGAGCCUGCGCCCGAUUAGCUAGCUGGUGGAGUAACGGUUCACCAGGGCGACGAUCGGUAGCUGGUCUGAGAGGACGAUCAGCCACACUGGGAUUGAGAACGGCCCAGACUCCUACGGGGGCGAGCAGUGAGGAAUUUCGUCAAUGGGGCAACCCUGAACGAGCAACGCCGCGUGCAGGAGAAGGUUUCGGAUCGUAAACUGCUUUCUCGGGAAGAGAACGGACGGUACCGAGGAAUCAGCCCGGCUAACUACGUGCCAGCAGCCGC
RNAcentral lists this ribosomal RNA (465 nucleotides) under uncultured bacterium. RNAcentral describes it as "SSU rRNA". It matches the Rfam family "Bacterial small subunit ribosomal RNA", at positions 26 to 518 of the family's 1533-position model. The record is from RNAcentral.